ACUUAUAUUUUCUCUAUGAAUAUGCUAUUCAAGAUCACAUCGACUAAAUUCGAAAUAAACCAUUACACUAUAAUUUGACUUCCAUAUGCUACAUGAGGAAAGAUGAUUACGAGCUUGCGUAAAUACUCAAAAGUCAAUGAAAGAUCGAAACAAUGUCACCUCAAUAAAGAACUUGUGGAGUUAAGAUGAUUCGCAUUUCUAGCGUUCCUUGUCAACACCCGUGGAAGCGUCCAACCUUGAAACGUCUCGUGUCCUCGGUCGAAGCACCGGCCCACGGAAUUUGACGUCUUCACCGUUUGUCUGUGCCUGCAAACAGUGCCAUUCGUAUCAAAUCAACACCGUUUGGUGCGCGAAAUAAAAAAAUCACCAAGAAUUGCUCCUUCGUCGUCUUCAAUCGUGACGUGCUGACCGAAGCACAGCCACCCAUUAUAACGAGAGGCCACCUAACGAAAAUUCGCAUAUCUUCGCUGGUUGUGGAAGAAUCAUCGCAAUAACAUCACUCCCUGGUUUUGCUCGGAUCUUCUUGUUAAGAGUUUUCUUAAUGGAGAACAACAACUAUCCGCAAAAUAAUCCGGGUUUCCCUUACUUCCCUCCUCCAUCGGGAUGGAUCGAUCCGAAUUCGGUAUCGUACGACGACGACGACAACGUCCCGGCGUGGGUCAUCGUCUGCAUAGUCCUUGUCAUCGUCAUACUCUUGGGUUUCCUUUUCUACUACAUCCGGAAGCGAGAGAUCAGAAUCUGGAUAAAAGCCAAGGCACCUGCUCCGGCCGCAAAGCCAGCGGCGGCAGCACCUGCGAAGCCGGCUUGAUCCGACUCCACCCACCAAGCCGCUGCCACCAGUGGGCGUCCCGAUUUCGUUCCCAGGCAAUUGUGCGGCUUGCCGGCGUAGAGGAGGACUGUAUUCUUUCUCAUGUACCUGCCCUCUGUGCAAGUAUACGAUGGAACAUAAUGCAGUGUAUCCAGACAACAAAUCAGACAGAAAAUACAAUAUUGUAUUAGUUGGGAAGCUUCUGUUCAUGUUUGUGUGUUGAUACUUGAUUGAUGUACGGUGACAAAUGGUCCACUCUACUGUAUAACAUUAAAGAUUCGAUGCAAUAAAUAAUUUUUGUGUUGGACGUUUCA
Molecule: long non-coding RNA, 1122 nt
Organism: Syzygium oleosum
Lineage: Eukaryota; Viridiplantae; Streptophyta; Magnoliopsida; Myrtales; Myrtaceae
Exons: 2
Source: RefSeq, a predicted model, not a curated record